This 866-nucleotide ribosomal RNA is filed under the name Levilactobacillus brevis. RNAcentral's name for it is "bacterial SSU rRNA". It matches the Rfam family "Bacterial small subunit ribosomal RNA", at positions 35 to 889 of the family's 1533-position model. Lineage: Bacteria; Bacillati; Bacillota; Bacilli; Lactobacillales; Lactobacillaceae. The record is from RNAcentral.
GCAGUCGACGAGCUUCCGUUGAUGACGUGCUUGCACUGAUUUCAACAAUGAAGCGAGUGGCGAACUGGUGAGUAACACGUGGGGAAUCUGCCCAGAAGCAGGGGAUAACACUUGGAAACAGGUGCUAAUACCGUAUAACAACAAAAUCCGCAUGGAUUUUGUUUGAAAGGUGGCUUCGGCUAUCACUUCUGGAUGAUCCCGCGGCGUAUUAGUUAGUUGGUGAGGUAAAGGCCCACCAAGACGAUGAUACGUAGCCGACCUGAGAGGGUAAUCGGCCACAUUGGGACUGAGACACGGCCCAAACUCCUACGGGAGGCAGCAGUAGGGAAUCUUCCACAAUGGACGAAAGUCUGAUGGAGCAAUGCCGCGUGAGUGAAGAAGGGUUUCGGCUCGUAAAACUCUGUUGUUAAAGAAGAACACCUUUGAGAGUAACUGUUCAAGGGUUGACGGUAUUUAACCAGAAAGCCACGGCUAACUACGUGCCAGCAGCCGCGGUAAUACGUAGGUGGCAAGCGUUGUCCGGAUUUAUUGGGCGUAAAGCGAGCGCAGGCGGUUUUUUAAGUCUGAUGUGAAAGCCUUCGGCUUAACCGGAGAAGUGCAUCGGAAACUGGGGAGACUUGAGUGCAGAAGAGGACAGUGGAACUCCAUGUGUAGCGGUGGAAUGCGUAGAUAUAUGGAAGAACACCAGUGGCGAAAGGCGGCUGUCUAGUCUGUAACUGACGCUGAGGCUCGAAAGCAUGGGUAGCGAACAGGAUUAGAUACCCUGGUAGUCCAUGCCGUAAACGAUGAGUGCUAAGUGUUGGAGGGUUUCCGCCCUUCAGUGCUGCAGCUAACGCAUUAGCACUCCGCCUGGGGAGUACGACCGC